RNAcentral lists this long non-coding RNA (796 nucleotides) under Homo sapiens (human). Its description in RNAcentral is "uncharacterized LOC105374645, transcript variant 2 (LOC105374645)". The record is from RNAcentral. Lineage: Eukaryota; Metazoa; Chordata; Mammalia; Primates; Hominidae.
GUGAGUCUUAGCUUCUCUCUGCAUCUGUGAGGUCAUCUCCCUUUCUGUAGAGCAUAUGAUCUUUACUGAUGCACCUGCAUCUGGCUCAGACUUAGUCACCCAGCCCUGAAAUUAUAUCAUAUCACAGGUCAUUCUCUGAGUCUCUUAAUGUGAGGCCUUGAGAGAAAAAUCAACAUGCCUUCUGUUGGAUGAAGACCAAUCAGCAAGAUGGUGGUGAUUGUGGUCUGUAACAAUGCAAAAGUCAGAACUGGUUGAAAUGUAAAAUUCAGUCCCCUUUUUAUAGAGUCGUUGCAAGGAUCAAGUGAGUUGAAAUCCGUAAGGUGCUUGGGAGAAUGCCUGGCGCCUGGAAGCACUGUAUAUUCCAAAAAAGGAGAUAUAAACAUGACCAUAAAAGACAUGAAAAGAUGUUUAACCCCAUUAGUCAUCGUGGAAAUGCAAAUGAAAACCACCAUACAGACACUAGAGUGGUUUAAAUUUGAAUGACUUCCAACACCAAAUGCCAGACAGGACAUAGAGCAACUGGAUGUCUCAUGCUCACAGGCAGAAGGGAAAACUACUGUGUGUGACAGGAAGAUGGACUUACCCAACCUUCAGCAUUCUCAAUCUCUUGUCUAUUAACAUGUGUUUGAAACAUUAUGCAUUCAAAGCAAACAUCUGGGAGGAAGAUGGGAGAAGCCUUCUUGCCCCUGUUCUACAGAAGUAAUUGAAGUUCAUGACAUUCAAGCUCAUUCACCAGUAAAUGAAUUUGGGUCAUGCUUUAUGUCUGUUGUAAAUACAGUGAAAAUUUGCCUCUGUU